CCAGACUCCUACGGGAGGCAGCAGUGGGGGAUAUUGGACAAUGGGGGAAACCCUGAUCCAGCGAUGCCGCGUGAGGGAAGAAGGUUUUCGGAUUGUAAACCUCUGUGGACAGGGACGAUAAUGACGGUACCUGUCAAGAAAGCCACGGCUAACUACGUGCCAGCAGCCGCGGUAAUACGGGGGAUGCAAGCGUUGUCCGGAAUCAUUGGGCGUAAAGAGUUCGUAGGUGGCACGUUAAGUCUGGUGUUAAAUGCAGAGGCUCAACCUCUGUUCGGCACUGGAUACUGGCGAGCUUGAAUGCGGUAGAGGUAAAGGGAAUUCCUGGUGUAGCGGUGAAAUGCGUAGAUAUCAGGAGGAACAUCGGUGGCGUAAGCGCUUUACUGGGCCGUAAUUGACACUGAGGAACGAAAGCCAGGGUAGCAAAUGGGAUUAGAUACCCCAGUA
This 444-nucleotide ribosomal RNA is filed under the name uncultured bacterium. RNAcentral describes it as "bacterial SSU rRNA". It matches the Rfam family "Bacterial small subunit ribosomal RNA", at positions 331 to 792 of the family's 1533-position model. The record is from RNAcentral.